This 889-nucleotide long non-coding RNA is filed under the name Equus asinus (donkey). RNAcentral describes it as "lncRNA (ENSEASG00005030863.1)". The record is from RNAcentral. Lineage: Eukaryota; Metazoa; Chordata; Mammalia; Perissodactyla; Equidae.
CGAGAAUGUAAACAGAACCAAAAUGCACUUCUGUGUGGUGUCUCGGCCAAAGGUGGAAAGAACAGGAAGGGAAGACCGGUCGGGGCAAGAAGUGUCGUCUGUUCUCUCCUAGCCCUCACUUCGCAGUGGCUGAUUCAAGAGGGAAGCCUGCAGGGAUGUCAUCAGGGAGCCAGGACGGUAAGGAGGCCGUCCCUGUGGGCCUGCCUGCCUAGAUGUCUGCUGUGGCCGGGUAGGCUUCCGAAGCACAAGGCACGAGGCACGACGCACACUGGGAAGAAGAGAAGGAGCAGGUUCAGAGGGGAAAGCAAAACGAAAGAAAAUAUCGAAAUACCAUCACCGCCUUUCAGCACAUUUCCCUGCCCUGACCCCAGGAGGAGGCCUUACAUGUGAUGCAUCAGGGGUGCGGUGUCCCGUUACCGGAGCUGAGCUGGAAGGUGGAGCAACAAGGACUCUGCAGAGGUCAGCCUUCCGGUGCGUGGAGCAGGGUGGAGAAUGGAGGACGGCGGAUCUGCAGUGGCAAAUGGAGGAUAACCAGCCCACGAUUUGUGCUGAAGAGGAAAAAGACAAAAGAAACAAGCACAUUAGUAAUUUUCAAAAUGCUGUACUCGUCUCAUUACAUAUCUAUUACUAUUAUUAAUAUUUUUAUUGAAGUAUAAUUGACAUACAUACAUAUCUCUGUUGGACUUUUAUAUUGGACUCAUUCUCACCUUUAUAAAUAACAAAAGAGGACGUCUUUCAAACUCUAAAUGUUCUGAUGAAACUAAUGUAUAUUAAGAGAUUCUAAUGAGAGGCAGCACAGCCUCUCCCAGAGAUUGUAUUAAAGUCUCUUUUGGUUGUAAGUUACAGAAACACACUAGAGCUAGCUUAAACUGAAAAAGAAAAAUAAAAG